GCUGGCGGCGUGCUAACACAUGCAAGUCGAACGAGAAAGUGGAGCAAUCCAUGAGUACAGUGGCGACGGGUGAGUAACACGUGACUAACCUGCCCUCGAGUGGGGAAUAACUCCGGGAAACCGGAGCUGAUACCGCAUAACAUCGCAAGAUCAAAGCCGAAAGGCGCUUGAGGAGGGGGUCGCGGCUGAUUAGCUAGUUGGUAGGGUAACGGCCUACCAAGGCUGAGAUCGGUAUCCGGCCUGAGAGGGCGCACGGACACACUGGAACUGAAACACGGUCCAGACUCCUACGGGAGGCAGCAGUGGGGAAUUUUGCGCAAUGGGGGAAACCCUGACGCAGCAACGCCGCGUGGAGGAUGAAGUCCCUUGGGACGUAAACUCCUUUCGACCCGGACGAUACUGACGGUACGGGUGGAAGAAGCACCGGCUAACUCUGUGCCAGCAGCCGCGGUAAUACAGAGGGUGCGAGCGUUGUUCGGAAUUAUUGGGCGUAAAGGGCGCGUAGGCGGUGCGGUAAGUCACCUGUGAAAUCUCCCGGCUCAACUGGGAGC
RNAcentral lists this ribosomal RNA (551 nucleotides) under uncultured Candidatus Korobacter sp. Its description in RNAcentral is "bacterial SSU rRNA". It matches the Rfam family "Bacterial small subunit ribosomal RNA", at positions 35 to 620 of the family's 1533-position model. The record is from RNAcentral. Lineage: Bacteria; Pseudomonadati; Acidobacteriota; Terriglobia; Terriglobales; Candidatus Korobacteraceae.